Molecule: non-coding RNA, 22 nt
Filed under: Rattus norvegicus (Norway rat)
Lineage: Eukaryota; Metazoa; Chordata; Mammalia; Rodentia; Muridae
Source: RNAcentral
UUCACAGUGCAGGCAGCACAAA